RNAcentral lists this ribosomal RNA (468 nucleotides) under uncultured bacterium. RNAcentral describes it as "partial 16S ribosomal RNA". It matches the Rfam family "Bacterial small subunit ribosomal RNA", at positions 28 to 507 of the family's 1533-position model. The record is from RNAcentral.
GACGAACGCUGGCGGCGUGCUUAACACAUGCAAGUCGAACGGAAAGGCCCUGCUUUUGUGGGGUGCUCGAGUGGCGAACGGGUGAGUAACACGUUAGUAACCUGCCCUUUACUUUUGGAUAACUUCAGGAAACUGGGGCUAAUACCGGAUAGGUGCUCCUGCUGCAUUGUUUGGGUUGGAAAGUUUCGGCGGUUGGGGAUUGACUCGCGGCUUAUCAGCUUGUUGGUGGGGUAGUGGCUUACCAAGGCUUUGACGGGUAGCCGGCCUGAGAGGGUGACCGGCCACAUUGGGACUGAGAGACGGCGCAGACUCCUACGGGAGGCAGCAGUGGGGAAUAUUGCACAAUGGGCGGAAGCCUGAGGCAGCAACGCCGCGUGCGGGAUGACGGCCUUCGGGUUGUAAACCGCUUUCGCCUGUGACGAAGCGUGAGUGACGGUAAUGGGUAAAGAAGCACCGGCUAACUACGUG